RNAcentral lists this ribosomal RNA (440 nucleotides) under uncultured bacterium. RNAcentral's name for it is "bacterial SSU rRNA". It matches the Rfam family "Bacterial small subunit ribosomal RNA", at positions 340 to 773 of the family's 1533-position model. The record is from RNAcentral.
UACGGGAGGCAGCAGUGGGGAAUAUUGCACAAUGGGCGCAAGCCUGAUGCAGCCAUGCCGCGUGUAUGAAGAAGGCCUUCGGGUUGUAAAGUACUUUCAGUCGUGAGGAAGGUGUUAAGGUUAAUAACCUUAGCAAUUGACGUUAGCGACAGAAGAAGCACCGGCUAACUCCGUGCCAGCAGCCGCGGUAAUACGGAGGGUGCGAGCGUUAAUCGGAAUUACUGGGUGUAAAGGGCACGCAGGCGGUUAAUUAAGUUGGAUGUGAAAUCCCCGGGCUUAACCUGGGAAUGGCAUUCAAGACUGGUUAGCUAGAGUCUUGUAGAGGGGGUAGAAUUCCAUGUGUAGCGGUGAAAUGCGUAGAGAUGUGGAGGAAUACCGGUGGCGAAGGCGGCCCCUGGGACAAAGACUGACGCUCAUGUGCGAAAGCGUGGGGAGCAAAC